GUAAUUGGACUUAUGUAGAAGUCACAACUAUUUGAGGUCGGGAAAUAGAAUUUUGGUGUUAAUGCAUGUUAGAGACAUAGUAUAAUGGACUAUGCUCAUGAAACAUACCAUACACAAAAAAAGAAUAUGCAAAAGGUGUGGCCUAAUCUCAUCCAUACUCAUGUCAAUUUUUUAAUCAACUAGCAUUAGGAUUUUGAGAUGUCAUAGGCCAAAUGGAAU
This 219-nucleotide long non-coding RNA is filed under the name Lathyrus oleraceus (garden pea). Its description in RNAcentral is "Pisum sativum (pea) long non-coding RNA (PSAT_LNC032533)". Lineage: Eukaryota; Viridiplantae; Streptophyta; Magnoliopsida; Fabales; Fabaceae. The record is from RNAcentral.